GUCUCUAUAGUCUAAAGGUUAGGACAUCACUCUUUCACGGUGAAAAUAGGGGUUCAAUUCCCCUUAGAGAUA
RNAcentral lists this transfer RNA (72 nucleotides) under Candidatus Zinderia insecticola CARI. Its description in RNAcentral is "tRNA-Glu (TTC) (tRNA-Glu-TTC-1-1)". It matches the Rfam family "tRNA". From Rfam's summary of the family: Transfer RNA (tRNA) molecules are approximately 80 nucleotides in length. The record is from Rfam by way of RNAcentral. Lineage: Bacteria; Pseudomonadati; Pseudomonadota; Betaproteobacteria; Burkholderiales; Oxalobacteraceae.